Molecule: ribosomal RNA, 363 nt
Filed under: Globigerinita uvula
Lineage: Eukaryota; Foraminifera; Rotaliida; Globigerinitidae
Description: bacterial SSU rRNA
Rfam family: Eukaryotic small subunit ribosomal RNA
Source: RNAcentral
GGAGCAUGUGGCUUAAUUUGACUCAACGCGGGAAAUCUUACCGGGUCCGGACACACUGAGGAUUGACAGGCAAUAUAUGUGACUCUUCGGAGUUUGCAUUGUUAAAUAUGCUAGUCCUUUCAUGAUUAUGUGAUAGGUGGUGCAUGGCCGUUCUUAGUUCGUGGAGUGAUCUGUCUGCUUAAUUGCGUUUCAAAUUACUUAUAAGGUAGCAAUACGCGAUGAAGCUUUCAAUAGUCCUCACGGAUUCACUUGAGUCUCUCGCUUCGCUAUCCUUUCAAUGCAACGAACGUGACCGCAACCUCUUGUUGCCUUCGUUUAACAUCCUGCAGUUCGCUGUGGGUACUGAGGGCUUCACUCGGUGAC